RNAcentral lists this microRNA (22 nucleotides) under Ixodes scapularis (black-legged tick). Its description in RNAcentral is "Isc-Mir-12_3p* (star (passenger))". Lineage: Eukaryota; Metazoa; Arthropoda; Arachnida; Ixodida; Ixodidae. RNAcentral also lists the same sequence under 1 other name. The record is from RNAcentral.
CAGUAUCUGUGUGAUAUUCACC